UCCGUAGGUGAACCUGCGGAAGGAUCAUUAAUGAAUUUAGAUUGAACCAUAGGCGAAAGCCAGUGGUUCUUCUUUCAUAUCCAUAACACCUGUGCACUGUUGGAUGCUUGCAUCCACUUUUAAACUAAACAUUAUUGUAACAAAUGUAGUCUUAUUAUAACAUAAUAAAACUUUCAACAACGGAUCUCUUGGCUCUCGCAUCGAUGAAGAACGCAGCGAAAUGCGAUAAGUAAUGUGAAUUGCAGAAUUCAGUGAAUCAUCGAAUCUUUGAACGCACCUUGCGCUCCUUGGUAUUCCGAGGAGCAUGCCUGUUUGAGUGUCAUGAAACCCUCAAACCCAAGUUUUGGAUUUCGAUCCAUGCUUGAGUUUGGAUUUGGAUGUUUGCCGGUGAUGAACCGACUCAUCUUAAAAGUAUUAGCUUGGAUCUGUCUAUAUGACUGGUUUGACUUGGCAUAAUAAGUAUUUUGCUGAGGACAUCUUCGGAUGGCCAGGACCUAGACUACUGUCUGCUAACUAAACCAUCACUUUAAGUGCAUCUUUGGAUGUUACUCAUUGUGUAACUUUGACAUCUGGCCUCAAAUCAAGUAGGACUACCCGCUGAACUUAAGCAUAUCAAUAAGCGGAGGA
Molecule: non-coding RNA, 627 nt
Filed under: Filobasidium magnum
Lineage: Eukaryota; Fungi; Basidiomycota; Tremellomycetes; Filobasidiales; Filobasidiaceae
Also listed under: 1 other name
Description: eukaryotic LSU rRNA
Rfam family: 5.8S ribosomal RNA (bases 169-322)
Source: RNAcentral